AGUCGAACAAGGUUUCNGUAGGUGAACCUGCGGAAGGAUCAUUG
Molecule: ribosomal RNA, 44 nt
Filed under: Trebouxia decolorans
Lineage: Eukaryota; Viridiplantae; Chlorophyta; Trebouxiophyceae; Trebouxiales; Trebouxiaceae
Description: partial 18S ribosomal RNA
Source: RNAcentral